This 433-nucleotide ribosomal RNA is filed under the name uncultured bacterium. RNAcentral describes it as "partial 16S ribosomal RNA". It matches the Rfam family "Bacterial small subunit ribosomal RNA", at positions 29 to 507 of the family's 1533-position model. The record is from RNAcentral.
AACGAGCGCUGGCGGCAGGCUUAACACAUGCAAGUCGAGCGAGACCUUCGGGUCUAGCGGCGGACGGGUGAGUAACGCGUGGGAACGUGCCCUUCUCUACGGAAUAGCCCCGGGAAACUGGGAGUAAUACCGUAUACGCCCUUUGGGGGAAAGAUUUAUCGGAGAAGGAUCGGCCCGCGUUGGAUUAGGUAGUUGGUGGGGUAAUGGCCCACCAAGCCGACGAUCCAUAGCUGGUUUGAGAGGAUGAUCAGCCACACUGGGACUGAGACACGGCCCAGACUCCUACGGGAGGCAGCAGUGGGGAAUCUUAGACAAUGGGGGCAACCCUGAUCUAGCCAUGCCGCGUGAGUGAUGAAGGCCUUAGGGUUGUAAAGCUCUUUCAGCUGGGAAGAUAAUGACGGUACCAGCAGAAGAAGCCCCGGCUAACUCCGUG